GAUGAACGCUGGCGGCGUGCCUAAUACAUGCAAGUCGAGCGAACGGACGAGAAGCUUGCUUCUCUGAUGUUAGCGGCGGACGGGUGAGUAACACGUGGAUAACCUACCUAUAAGACUGGGAUCACUUCGGGAAACCGGAGCUAACACCGGAUAAUAUUUUGAACCGCAUGGUUCAACAGUGAAAGACGGUCUUGCUGUCACUUAUAGAUGGAUCCGCGCUGCAUUAGCUAGUUGGUAAGGUAACGGCUUACCAAGGCGACGAUGCAUAGCCGACCUGAGAGGGUGAUCGGCCACACUGGAACUGAGACACGGUCCAGACUCCUACGGGAGGCAGCAGUAGGGAAUCUUCCGCAAUGGGCGAAAGCCUGACGGAGCAACGCCGCGUGAGUGAUGAAGGUCUUCGGAUCGUAAAACUCUGUUAUUAGGGAAGAACAUAUGUGUAAGUAACUGUGCACAUCUUGACGGUACCUAAUCAGAAAGCCACGGCUAACUACGUG
RNAcentral lists this ribosomal RNA (497 nucleotides) under uncultured bacterium. RNAcentral's name for it is "partial 16S ribosomal RNA". It matches the Rfam family "Bacterial small subunit ribosomal RNA", at positions 28 to 507 of the family's 1533-position model. The record is from RNAcentral.